RNAcentral lists this unclassified non-coding RNA (214 nucleotides) under Ascomycota sp. RNAcentral describes it as "partial contains small subunit ribosomal RNA, internal transcribed spacer 1, and 5.8S ribosomal RNA". The stretch from base 1 to 47 matches the Rfam family "Eukaryotic small subunit ribosomal RNA", at positions 1785 to 1831 of the family's 1831-position model. Lineage: Eukaryota; Fungi; Ascomycota. The record is from RNAcentral.
AAAGUCGUAACAAGGUUUCCGUAGGUGAACCUGCGGAAGGAUCAUUAUCGUAGGGCUUCGGCCCUGUCGAGAUAGAACCCUUGCCUUUAUGAGUACCGUCCGUUUCCUCGGCAGGUCCGCCUGCCGAUGGACAAAAAAAUAAACCUUUAUAACCUGUAUUAGUCUGAAAAAAAUUUAAAAAUUAAAACUUUCAACAACGGAUCUCUUGGUUCUG